Molecule: long non-coding RNA, 2338 nt
Filed under: Pongo abelii (Sumatran orangutan)
Lineage: Eukaryota; Metazoa; Chordata; Mammalia; Primates; Hominidae
Description: lncRNA (ENSPPYG00000030726.1)
Source: RNAcentral
CCCUUCGCGCUUCUCCGCACCGGGAUCCCCAGUCCCUCAGGUUCCGAUAGACCCUCCUGUCAGGCCCAUUCUCCCGGCCGCCUCAGUUGCAGUGUUAAGAUCAACAGUGUUAAGAUUAAAGCUUUGUGAUGUGCUAGCCACUACGCUGAGGAUAUGCCGUGUAGCAAAAUUCCUCAGGACUCCUCACAGCUGCCCUGUAAGGAAGCGGCCAUGGCCGGGUUCUAGGGAUGCGAGGCCGAGGCUCGGGGCGCUGAGUAGCCUAGCGCGUCGCCGAGGAGAGCUGGCACGUGAACCCUUGUCGUCUGCCGUCAGAGGUGUUAUGUGGUGGCCCUCAUUCUCCACACCUGGAGCAGACUCUAGGAUCUGCAGUUACUGUAUGAUGAGCCCUUCUGAGUAUUUUGCUUGGCUUUGCACCUGGCGAGGUAACAUUGAGACUAGUUAAUCUCUACACUGGAAUCCAUCUGGAAGACCACUCAAUAACUCAUCAUUAGCCGGACCUGGUGGUACAAGCCUGGAGUCUCGGUUACCUGGAGGCUGAGGUGGGAAUAUCGCUUGAGACCAGGAGUUUGAGGCUGCAGUGAGCUGUGAUUGUACCACUGCACUCCAGCCUGGGUGACAGUGCAAGAAUUCAUCUCUUAAAAAAAAACAAACAACUCAAAAAACCUCAUCAUUGAGCACCUAUGAUGUGCCAGCAACUGUACUCAGUGUUGGAGACCCGAGGACAAACAAACCAGGAACGGGACCUUUGAGCAGUCACCAUCUGACAAGUGACUGGGAAAGAUGAAUAAUGCCCUUCACCAAGAUUCUUCUCUGAUCCACAAAUUCAAUUACUGAUUUAUUUGUUCACUGCUCUUAAACUUAAAUAUUUUUUAGUAGGUAAUAAAGAUAUACCAAUUUAAACACUCUUGACUUUUAACAAUUUCUUUUUAAGUACUGUAAUAUUCUUCUUUUCCUUUAAAAAAAAAAUACAAAAAGAAGGAAAAGGAAAAUCUAUUCAAAAUAAAGUAUUCCAGAUAUCUGAUAUUGCUGCAUUGCUGUAUCAUUCAUUAACAUUCACAAAAAAUAAAAUGAGUACCUUCCAUGUGUGUGCAGGCAUUGUUCUAGGCAAAGAACAAUUAAAUCAAACUUCUGUUAACAUUAAACCAAAACUUCUGUUCUCAUGGAACCUACCUACUAGCAGAUCCAAGCCAUGGUAGUUUGUUCAAGAACCUUCAGCUCUUUUCUGCUUUGUUGUCAAAGGCUUCUAAAAUUGGUUCCAAUCCCAACCACCACCAACAACAAUAUCACAAGAAGACACCUAGGCUAUUAUUCUUAACCUGUUUCCCGGUUUCGAUUUGUUAACCCCCUCUGGAUUAAGCAUUGUUGUCUUUGAUCUUGACAUGUGCCUCUAUGUGGAGAGUGUAUUUUUGCUCACCAAAUUUUUACUCAUUAAACUUUACUGGUGCUAUGCUUGCUAACUUAUUUCAGAUAAUUAGAGCUUUUGGAUGCUUUCUCUAGGACAAACUGUUCCUUUCUCCAUCCUCAGCCUUCCAUGCUGUUAAUGUACAAAAUCAGAUGAUUUAAACAUAAAUCAUCUUGAACUCUAGAAUGACCUGGUCCCCUUAGGGAAAAACCAUGGGAUUUAACACUACUCCUCAGUGAUGAUGGUAAGGCUAUAUGGGCAGUUGUUUAACCAUUAUCCCCAGGUGCCCUCACCCACAGCCAGCCUGCUCAAAGGACUAUUUCCCAUUCCAAUAAUAAUGACAGAGCUAGGAGGGAGGCCAUGACUAAUAAAGACGUAUAAGAUGUUACUGCAAAUCCUUUUUUCUAUCCAUACGAAUUAUAAACUAACUAAAAAAUAUUGACAAAUAUUAGCAAUUACAUUGAAAGAAGAAGGUGGUUGUCAAAAAUAAAAACCAUUGUUAUGUUUUAUAAAUGUUAUUGAAGUCCACAGGAAAUACAUUAAUUUGGUGGGUGUAAAAUUGGAAGAAUUUUGAAAAAUGUAUGCAGUGGUGUAACCACAAACACAAUCAUGAUAUUUCCAUCCCUCCAGAGUUUCCUUAUGUUCCUCCUCCCAAUCUGUUUCCUGUCAACUAAUUAUCUGCUUUCUAUCACUGUAAUAGUGCCUGUUCUAGGAAAUUAGAUGAAUGGAAUUUUCUAUUAUGUGGUCUUUUGAGUCAGACUUCUUUCACUAAUUAUACUGACUUUGAGAUUUAUCCAUGUUGUUGCAUGUAUCAGUAAUUCAUUCAUUUUCAUUGCUAAGUGGUAUUGUAUGAAAUACAGUUUAUUUAUCCAUUCCAAUAAAUGAACCCAAUUUGGGUUCAUUCCAAUUUUGAACUAUUAUAAAUAAAGUUGCUAU